UUUUUUUGUUGAAAAUUAUACUUACACAUACUAGUAAUAGCCUAUGCAAGCAUUUACUGUUCUUCCAUAAUAUUCAUGUACAAGUGUUCUCUUCUUGGCACCUGGGACAGACAGACAAAGCAUGCUGUACAGUCAUUUCACACUGUCCCUACAGUGCACUUUGUAAUGUCUUGUUUCAGAGAAGUUUGGUGUUUGGUGUUUAAAAGGAUAUGUUUAAAAAGAUAUCAGAAAAAUGUGUUUAAUCUGAAGGAUUAAAUAUGCAAGUGCUAAUAAUGAAAUGUGUCUAGAAUUCAAAUUUAAACAUGAAAGAAUAAACAAGUUCCAUUUGAGCUAAAGACCAAUUUUGUUUUGUAAAUACUCUGUACUGUUUAAUUUGCUCCCAUUGUUUAACAUUUCUAGACUGAGAAAGGAUCCUCAAGAUUUGGCCAGAAACAUUUAAGCAGCUAUGUAUUUAUACCUGAAAAGCAAAACCACUAUGAAUAAAAGUACUGAAAGUUGCAUUUGGGAAGCACAUAAAUUAAUAACUUAUAAAACAUCCAUUAACAUCAAUUUGUUUCAGAGGCAGACAUGUAGCUGCAUAAACUGUCCACAACAUUCUCUGUGCCAGGGAUCCCUGCUCCAUCUGGGGAUGGCCAAAUGCAGUCCCCAAAACAAGCACAGCAGCCUAAAGGUGAUGGGGAUGUAGAGGGGUUAAAGACAUUUUCUAUAUUGCAAUGAACAUUUUCUGGAAAUAUUUUUUAAAAUGUUCAUUUAAAAAGUCACGUUUAUGUUAAUGAAAGUGUUUUUGCAUUUUUCAAUCAACUAUAGCAGGGGAAGUCUGCAUGUGAGCUGUCCAAAUUCAGCAUCUCUCUCAGGCAGCUUCCAUCAAAAUGGCUCCGAUGGCUAGAAUUUAAGAUGCCCCCUCCCUGCAGAACAACUGGUGUGGCUGUCCCAGCAGACACAGGGGGAUGCAAGCUGCAUUCCAAGGGUGAAUCUGGCUAUAUGCUCUAGAGAGGAAGAUAAAUGGAGCAUCUAUAUAAUGGUGAAUGUACUGCAGUGGAAAAGAUGCUCAAACUUUCCCAAACGACAAUACUAGCUAAACUAUAUCAAGGGAUAUAAGAAAUCAGAAAUAAGCAAAAAUAGCAUACAAACUUUGUGCUGAAAUAUGCCAACUUUUUUCCGCCCACAAAAUUGUUCUCUCUGAUGGGAAAAAUUAAAUAGCUAUGUAGAUUCUUCUAUGGUAAAUGUCCCUCAGCAUCCAGGACAAUGUAAACUUGGGAGUGUAUAUCAAAUAAUUAAUACUGCACGUUCCAAAAAAUUGUGUGUAACUCCAUGAAUUGGCAACUGUUUGAAUGGCUGUUCUUAUUUACAAACAGCAGACAAAGAUUUGGGUAUCCACUCAACAGCUUCUGGCUUGAACGUUGCUUCCAAAACAGGAAACUCUAACACAGUGGAAAGUAGUAUGAGGAAGGAAAAGAAAAGAAAAGGUACAGUUCAGUUUUGUGUGGUUUUAUUCUAUUACACGUAAGUCCUCAUCAUUGUAGUAUCUAAGAACCUUCCAAUAGCACAUUAAGCAAUGUGAUUACCAUCUGUCAUGCGUGGUUGGUUCUUCUGCUUCCCCCUCCCCAUCAUUAGAUUUUUAAGGCCUGGGGGGUAGGGGAGGUGGCUAGUCUCACCUCCCUCCUGCAUGACACAGGCCAUAGAAUUUCACCCAGUGCUUUUUCCACCUAGCACAACAAGGUGCGGUGUCUUUUAGAAAGAUUUAAAGCCCCAUCAUCCUCCCUCUCUCACUACUGCUCUUGCCUCCAGUAUUUUUGUCACCGCAACAAGCUAGUAAUGGAAAACCUUCCCAGAGGGUACUGCUUUCCAGUUUGAAAAAGGCCUUCUUGACUGUCAUAUAGGCUAGAUCAUCCACUGAGGCCCACUGCUGGGUAAACAGUGGGGUAGAGUUGCACUAGGCCAGAAAUAGCACUAGAAAGAGCAGAAUGCACGAUGGGGAGUGUGCUUGCUACUACGCUCACUACCCUAUAGCUCACUACCUCAGCACCAGUUCUAUGCAGGCUGGUGUGGAGAGCAGCAAGGUUGUUGCUCUACUUCAUCCUCAACUGCUAUAGAGCACUGUGUGCCUCAGGGGAGUAGGUACAGGAGUAGUCCCUAUGCUGCCCUGAGCUCCAGGGCAGCAAUCCAGACUGGUCCUUGUGAAGGCAACAAAAGGGGUGGGAAAGGGUCCUAACAGCCCUAUGCCCUUGACCAGGCUGUGCACUUGCAUAAAAGGUGGGCACGAACUGACCCAUAGUGUGGCACUGUGAUUAUUAAAACCACAGUUAAACAGCACACAAGUAAGCUGGGGUGGCCUAGUGGUUCCAGGCAGAGAUGUUCUGACAAAGGAGAACUCUAUUUCUCAUUAUUCCUCUUUUGUACAGAUCAUUUCAAAAUUAGGUUUUCAGUCGUGAACAGUUAACCUUAGAUACUGUAGAAGAACCAUUCAUGUGCACUUUUACUCUGUCAAGUAACUAUAAAAAUGACAUUGUGGAAUUCCAUUUUGAUUGUCUCUCUCUGACUCCAGUUUACAAGUAAAAAGAUUUUUUUUCUCUCAGUACUGUAAAAGUGUCUUGGGAUUUGAAAGUCAAGCUGAAUUUUUUCAUUCCUGUACAUCACCAACAGGAAUCCAGACCCAGCUGACUGUAUAAGUAUAUACUAUCAACAAUCCACAGUGUGUUUGUGUGGCUGGUUGUUGGAAAACCACAUUUUUACACAGAAACUGAACAAAUUUAAUAUGGAGUCAUUGAGAAAUUAUAGAAAUUGAACCUAUU
Molecule: long non-coding RNA, 2792 nt
Filed under: Gopherus evgoodei (Goodes thornscrub tortoise)
Lineage: Eukaryota; Metazoa; Chordata; Testudines; Testudinidae
Description: lncRNA (ENSGEVG00005010621.1)
Source: RNAcentral